GGGGGAGCCCAAGGGGCGCCCGCGGGGAGCCCCAGGCCCGUCUCGGCUCGGGGGUGCAGGACGCACAAACUCCGCUGAAUUUUGCCCCCGCUGAGCUCAGAGACACCUUGAAAACUCGGGUUAAGCGAGGUAAAACCUUGCCAGCAUUAAUGCCCUGCACUCGUAUGGAAUAUGAGCCAGACAGAACAUGAGGAGUGUGGCAGCAAGGUCACAAAAAACAUCCCUCGUGCCACCCCAGCACCACCAGAGCCCUGGGAGUGAAGCAGAGGGAAGAAGGGCAUCGGGCAGCAGCAUCGCCUGGGGCUCGUGGAGACGGAGGAGAGCAAAUUUCUGAGACAGUGUCAGGGCACAGCAGCUGUUACCCUGAGUUUGGUGGCUACAGGCUACAAAGGACCUGUCCAAAAACAAGCUCGUCACUGCCACUCGAUAAAAAAACACGAGGACUCGGUGUCCCUUGCCCUCUGUGUUGCGUAAAAAGUGAUGUUGGCCAGGCCAGGUAAACACACAGACUGGAAAAAUGUGAAUUUGUGAGAGCACGGAGUGAGGGGAUUGAUCUGCCUUGGUCCUGACACUGCUGCAUUUCAUGCAUUUCAUGCAGUUCAUGCAGUUCAUGCAGUUCAUGCAUUUCAUGCAUUUCAUGGCCAGAGGGUGAAAAGCGAGUGCUAGGGAAUAUUUUGGGAUGUGCUCAGUGGGUCUGAGCAUGCUCUGGUGUUCCCUCCCUCAGCUUGAUUUUUGCCAGGCAGAUUUAUGUUAAUGUAAAGGUAAAAAUGAAUUUGUGUUACUGUAAAUGUGAAAAUUAUUUAUGUUAAUGUAAAUGUAAAAAUUAAUUUGUGUUAAUGUAAAGGUAAAAAUUGUUUAUGUUAAUGUAAAUGUAAAAGUGAAUUUGUGUUAGUGUAAAGGUAAAAAUUAUUUGUGUUAAUGUAAAUGUAAAAGUGAAUUUGUGUUAAUGUAAAGGUAAAAAUUAUUUAUGUAAAUGUAAAUGUAAAGAUGAAUUUGUGUUAAUGUAAGUGUAAAAAUUAUUUGUGUUAAUGUAAAUGUAAAAAUGAAUUUGUGUUAGUGUAAAGGUAAAAAUUAUUUAUGUAGAUGUAAAUGUAAAAAUGAAUUUGUGUUAAUGUAAGUGUAAAAUUAUUUGUGUUAAUGUAAAUGUAAAAAUGAAUUUGUGUUAAUGUAAGUGUAAAAAUUAUUUGUGUUAAUGUAAAUGUAAAAAUGAAUUUGUGUUAGUGUAAAGGUAAAAAUUAUUUAUGUAGAUGUAAAUGUAAAAAUGAAUUUGUGUUAAUGUAAAGGUAAAAAUUAUUUAUGUAAAUGUAAAUGUAAAGAUGAAUUUGUGUUAAUGUAAAGGUAAAAAUUAUUUAUGUUAAUGUAAAUGUAAAGAUGAAUUUGUGUUAGUGUAAGUGUAAAGAUUAUUUGUGUUAAUGUAAAUGUAAAAAUGAAUUUGUGUUAGUGUAAAGGUAAAAAUUAUUUAUGUAGAUGUAAAUGUAAAGAUGAAUUUUUGUUAAUGUAAGUGUAAAAAUUAUUUGUGUUAAUGUAAAUGUAAAGAUGAAUUUGUGUUAUGUAAGUGUAAAAAUUAGUUAUGUUAAUGUAAAUGUAAAGAUGAAUGAAGGUGAGGGCAGUUGUGAAGAUCCAUUCAUGGAGUUUUGGGCUCACUCAAUAAAUACUGAGAUAAUUCAGGA
Molecule: long non-coding RNA, 1670 nt
Organism: Vidua chalybeata
Lineage: Eukaryota; Metazoa; Chordata; Aves; Passeriformes; Viduidae
Exons: 2
Source: RefSeq, a predicted model, not a curated record